Vombatus ursinus (common wombat) is the source of this 700-nucleotide long non-coding RNA. RefSeq lists it as uncharacterized. NCBI's taxonomy places the organism in Eukaryota, Metazoa, Chordata, Mammalia, Diprotodontia, Vombatidae. The transcript is spliced from 3 exons. The record is from RefSeq and is a predicted model, not a curated record.
UGUAAACUUAAUUCUGAGCUGUUGGAUGGAUGCAGCCACAGGGCCACCAUUCUCUCUGAGCAAAAUACCCUUUCUAAAAGUUACUAAAGGCUGGCUGACUAAAAUGAUUCUCAACUGAUCAUCCUGGGGGAAACACACUGGACCUGUGGCGUUGGAGACCACCAUGACUCUUCAAAGGGAAAAUACCACUGCAUUGGAAACAAAGGAGAGCAACUCAGCACAAUGGUGUGCUGAGAAAAGGAAACUUGGGAAAUCUUUCCACGUGCAGGAAGCGGAGAUGCCGAUUCCCAAAAUAACUUUCCUCCUUCCUCUGCAUCACGGAGCCAACGGAGCACAGGUUCCUUUAUGUAUUCACACACAUCCAGUCUAAACUGGAGUUCACUAUGGGGAAAUACAAUUGGUGAAUUUUUAAAUUAUGUGUUUAGAUUUUUAUUUCCAAGGUAGGAGACAAGAACAAGACCCAAAAUGCCAUCGUCAUGGGUAGCGCUUCCAACGGGGAACUUGCUUUGCCAAUACAGUUAGCGCCUUCUCUGCAAUUUAUGGUUUUAGAGAGUUGACCUAUUGGUCAAAUGCCUUAGUCUGGGUCACGUAGUUUUUAAUCUGUCAAUGAAAGGACUGGAACCCAGGUCUUCCUAACUCCUAGGCCACUCUGUCCACUCUGUCAAGCUGCCCCUCAUUUUGUCUUGCUAGCUGGACUUUA